This 72-nucleotide transfer RNA is filed under the name Ictidomys tridecemlineatus (thirteen-lined ground squirrel). Its description in RNAcentral is "Spermophilus tridecemlineatus (thirteen-lined ground squirrel) tRNA". It matches the Rfam family "tRNA". From Rfam's summary of the family: Transfer RNA (tRNA) molecules are approximately 80 nucleotides in length. Their secondary structure includes four short double-helical elements and three loops (D, anti-codon, and T loops). Further hydrogen bonds mediate the characteristic L-shaped molecular structure. tRNAs have two regions of fundamental functional importance: the anti-codon, which is responsible for specific mRNA codon recognition, and the 3' end, to which the tRNAs corresponding amino acid is attached (by aminoacyl-tRNA synthetases). tRNAs cope with the degeneracy of the genetic code in two manners: having more than one tRNA (with a specific anti-codon) for a particular amino acid; and 'wobble' base-pairing, i.e. permitting non-standard base-pairing at the 3rd anti-codon position. Lineage: Eukaryota; Metazoa; Chordata; Mammalia; Rodentia; Sciuridae. The record is from Rfam by way of RNAcentral.
GGUUGUGUAGCUCAGUGGUAGAGCACUUGCCUGGCAUGUGUGAGGCACUGGGUUCCAUCCUCAGCAUCACCU